GGACCAAUAUGUCGGUCGUGCUUUUGUACGUACUGAUAUAAUUGGUUUCUCCCUUCUGAAGAACCUUGAUGUCAUUAAUUUGGUGUCUUGGGGAAUCAGGACUGUUACUUUGAAAAAUUAGAGUGUUUAAAGCAGGCUCGCGCUUGAAUACAUUAGCAUGGAAUAAUGAAAUAGGACGUUUGAUUCUAUUUUGUUGGUUUCUAGGAUCGACGUAAUAAUU
Molecule: ribosomal RNA, 220 nt
Filed under: uncultured fungus
Lineage: Eukaryota; Fungi
Description: partial 18S ribosomal RNA
Rfam family: Eukaryotic small subunit ribosomal RNA (bases 46-220)
Source: RNAcentral